Non-coding RNA from Chrysemys picta bellii (western painted turtle), 842 nucleotides. NCBI's taxonomy places the organism in Eukaryota, Metazoa, Chordata, Testudines, Emydidae. The record is from RefSeq and is a predicted model, not a curated record.
CACCCCCCUCACCCAGUGGGCGCUCCAGGGGGACGUCUGGCGACAGGAUUCAGCCCCCUCUCUAGUGGGGGAGUUCCCCUUUCCGGAGCUUGCCGAUAGUCAUUGCCAGCCAAAGGAGAGUGCCGCUAAAGCUGGGGAAAGUGACCAGAGAGCAAGUGUGAAAACUCGGGCUGGGGGCUGGGUGGGGUGGGACAGGCCCCAUGUCAGACAAAGCCCCGACUAUCAGGACUGUCCCUAUAAAAUCGGGAUCUCUGGUCACCCCACGUUGGGCCAGGGGGGACUUGGCUCUUGUGGCCUGGGCCAAUGAUGAGCCGCCGAGGGCAGGGAGAAAGUGAAAGCCACCCGGCGCCCUGGGCGGGCCGGGCAGCGCUAGGACCUGGCGGCAGCCCGGCCCAAUGUGCUUUGCUCGCGGAGCGGCUCCCAGCCCGGCAGAGCCGGGGGGGGGAGCGGGGGGGAGGCAGAGUCCCCGGCUCCUGCUCGCCGCGGGAGGGGGAGCGGAGCCGCUUUGACAGACGCGGCCAGUUGCUGACACCCGAUCCCCGGGCCAGGGAGCGCAGAGCAGCCCGGCGGCUUAAAGCGCAGCGGCGCGGGGAAGCGGCUCAGAGCAAGGCGCGCCCCGGGGGGAACCGGCCCAGACCCAAACGGAACCGAAGAACUAAACACCGAGAGGGCGACCCCGCUGAAAAUGGAGCCCAGAUCGACCCUGGCCCCUCUCCAGCCAGUGUCAGCCUCGCUGGCUCGCGGAGGAAACACUGCUUCCCUCCUCUGUGCUGUUGCCAAAGCAAAGCCAAGGCAAAUGUUUGUUGCAUCUUUUUAAAAAAAGAGAAGAUUUUGACCUCCAA